AUCACAUUAAUCUUUAAAACUUCACAACAAUGCUUUGAGCCUGGUGCUUUUAUUAUUCCCAUUGUACAGUUAAUAAAACAGGUUUACGUAGUUAGUGGCUGAGCUGGGUUGCAGACUCAGGCACGUCUGAAUCCGGAGCUGGGGUUCUUACCCACUCCAGUGACUGCCUCUCAGAAAAGAACAGGGCAAUGUCCAUUCUCCUUUUAUUUUCUUUAAGCACCUGAUCAUUCUAAAAGCAUGUGUUCCUCCGUGUGUGUGAGUUGUGUACACGUGUGUGUGUGUUCCUUUCUUUUCUCGGACUCCAGGCUCAUGACUGCUUAUUUGCAUGGUGUUUUGGUGUCAAAGGAGUGUUGAAUGUGUUCUCCACACACCCAGCUUUAUUCCACUCUAGGAGUUUAACUUCUUCAGCAUUGUUAUGAGGUCCCCGGUGACCUCAGUUUCUCCUCUCCGCGUCAUCCAGGACUUCACCUGAAGCUUGAGCUACACGUAAGACUUCAUCUACCUUGCACAGGGCAAUGGAGAGAGAUUCCUGCAAGUAGACUGACAGCUGCAUGUUUGCAGGAAAGUUAAAUAUUUUGACAGCGCAGAAGACUGCUGCAUCUGGAGGGUUCUGGGUCCAGCUAUAACCAGACUUGCCUGUCCUAAACAAAUGGAUUGACUGCUUCCGGCAUCCUCACUUUACUUCUGCAUGGUGACCAACAUCCGGAGCUUAAUUACCUGACAGCCAGGAGAUAACAAAAAUGUCAUGCCUGAGUCCCUGAUAGCAACCCCAGAGGAGCUCCAGGUUUGAGGCAGCGCUGGCAGGACGUGGUCUAUCUGCCAUCUGAAGCCCUUCAUUGCCCGCCUGGCUGUGAAUCUCACCUCCUCUGUAGUGGAAAACAGGCUGAACAGAACUGGCAGGCAGGUAAGGGACAGCAAACCUUGCAGGGAGGGCCUAGUGCUGAAGCUAAGCCAGCCCUUUGAGUUCAAGCUCAAAGACAUGUGAUGCCAGCUUUGCAGGGGAGCUAAGAUUCUUCCGAGAAAAAGCAGAAUGAGAGAGAGAUAUGCAGCUGCAGUGGAGGACUUGGAAGAGAACAACGCCAGGUCCUGGAUCCUGCAAGAAUCUCCUCUGGAAAAGCAGGGGAGAGAAAAGCAAGGAAGGAAGCAGGGUCACCGCAAGUGUGGGAUUUGUCUUAUUAAAAUCUGAUACUGUGUGGCAGUUUGCUUCACUCUUGGUAUAAAAUGUCUGAGCUCCAUGUUAAAGUAAAUGUAAGUAAUAUAAAUCUGCCUUUCCUGAGGUGAAAAUAGAUCCAUAUUAUUUAAAAUAUGAACUGAGAUAGAUGACAGUUACAAACAUUAUACUUGUUCUUAUUAUAAUUCUUACUAAGCUCAAGGAAUAAAAACUGGGAUGAUGAAAAAGAAGUUCUGAAUGUAAAAAUUGGUGUUUUGGAUAAAAUACAAACCAACCCAGAAAUGAUGAAAAAAA
This 1465-nucleotide long non-coding RNA is filed under the name Homo sapiens (human). Its description in RNAcentral is "long intergenic non-protein coding RNA 3095". Lineage: Eukaryota; Metazoa; Chordata; Mammalia; Primates; Hominidae. The record is from RNAcentral.